RNAcentral lists this ribosomal RNA (1006 nucleotides) under Buergeria japonica (Japanese Buerger's frog). Its description in RNAcentral is "partial 16S ribosomal RNA". It matches the Rfam family "Bacterial large subunit ribosomal RNA", at positions 855 to 2569 of the family's 2925-position model. The record is from RNAcentral. Lineage: Eukaryota; Metazoa; Chordata; Amphibia; Anura; Rhacophoridae.
AUUCAAGAAAAGAAUUUUAGUUCUGCCUUAAAUCUGUUUAUUCUAUCAAAAACCUUACAAAGAUUUAAGAGUUAUUCCAGUAAGGCACAGCUUACUUGAAACAGGAUACAACCUACACUACCGGGUAAAUUUAUUUUAAUAUAAUCAAGUGGGCCUAAUAGCAGCCACCUUUUAAAAAGCGUUAAAGCUUAAUUAUUUUAUUUUUCUAAUACCAUUAUUUUUUAUAAACCCUUUAUUACUAUUGAAUGAUUCCAUAUUCUUAUGGAAGACCUUAUGCUAGAACUAGUAACAAGAAUAUUUUUCUCCAAAAUGUAAGUGUAAGUCAACACAAAUGACAAUUAACGAAAGUGAUUUUAAUGUAAUAACUUAACAAGAAAAUUUUACAACAACUACCGUUAACCUAACACUAGAACAUUACUGGAAAGAUUAACAGAGAAAGAAGGAACUCGGCAAAUCUUAACCCCGCCUGUUUACCAAAAACAUCGCCUCUUGAAAAAUUAUAAGAGGUCCAGCCUGCCCAGUGACAAAGUUCAACGGCCGCGGUACCCUAACCGUGCGAAGGUAGCAUAAUCACUUGUUCUUUAAAUAGGGACUAGUAUCAACGGCACCACGAGGGUUAUACUGUCUCCUUUCUCCAAUCAGUGAAACUGAUCUCCCCGUGAAGAAGCGGGGAUAUCUAUAUAAGACGAGAAGACCCCAUGGAGCUUCAAACCUUCAGCAACUUUUAAUAUAUAAACCUUCACAUCUUAAAAGCUGUGCAAAGCGGUUUUGGGUUGGGGUGACCACGGAGUAAAAACAAACCUCCAUGACGUACAGAACUAGACCUUUAUCUAUGAACUACUAUUCUAAGAAUCAGUAAACUGACGUAAAAUGACCCGAUUAUCGAUCAACGAACCAAGUUACCCUGGGGAUAACAGCGCAAUCCACUUUAAGAGCUCAUAUCGACAAGUGGGUUUACGACCUCGAUGUUGGAUCAGGGUAUCCCGGUGGUGCAGCCGCUACUAAA